CAGUCGCCACGGUAAAACAGAGGGUGCGAGCGUUAAUCGGAUUUACUGGGCGUAAAGCGUGCGUAGGCGGCUUUUUAAGUCGGAUGUGAAAUCCCUGAGCUUAACUUAGGAAUUGCAUUCGAUACUGGGAAGCUAGAGUAUGGGAGAGGAUGGUAGAAUUCCAGGUGUAGCGGUGAAAUGCGUAGAGAUCUGGAGGAAUACCGAUGGCGAAGGCAGCCAUCUGGCCUGAUACUGACGCUGAGGUACGAAAGCAUGGGGAGCAAACAGGAUUAGAUACCCGCGUAGUCCCUGUCUCUUAUAC
This 301-nucleotide ribosomal RNA is filed under the name uncultured bacterium. Its description in RNAcentral is "partial 16S ribosomal RNA". It matches the Rfam family "Bacterial small subunit ribosomal RNA", at positions 509 to 807 of the family's 1533-position model. The record is from RNAcentral.